This 495-nucleotide ribosomal RNA is filed under the name uncultured bacterium. RNAcentral describes it as "partial 16S ribosomal RNA". It matches the Rfam family "Bacterial small subunit ribosomal RNA", at positions 28 to 507 of the family's 1533-position model. The record is from RNAcentral.
GACGAACGCUGGCGGCGUGCCUAAUACAUGCAAGUAGAACGCUGAAGGAGGAGCUUGCUUCUCUGGAUGAGUUGCGAACGGGUGAGUAACGCGUAGGUAACCUGCCUGGUAGCGGGGGAUAACUAUUGGAAACGAUAGCUAAUACCGCAUAAUAGUAGAUGUUGCAUGACAUUAGCUUAAAAGGUGCAAUUGCAUCACUACCAGAUGGACCUGCGUUGUAUUAGCUAGUUGGUGAGGUAACGGCUCACCAAGGCAACGAUACAUAGCCGACCUGAGAGGGUGAUCGGCCACACUGGGACUGAGACACGGCCCAGACUCCUACGGGAGGCAGCAGUAGGGAAUCUUCGGCAAUGGACGGAAGUCUGACCGAGCAACGCCGCGUGAGUGAAGAAGGUUUUCGGAUCGUAAAGCUCUGUUGUAAGAGAAGAACGAGUGUGAGAGUGGAAAGUUCACACUGUGACGGUAUCUUACCAGAAAGGGACGGCUAACUACGUG